RNAcentral lists this long non-coding RNA (6892 nucleotides) under Hordeum vulgare. Its description in RNAcentral is "long non-coding RNA (HVUL_LNC013496)". The stretch from base 855 to 968 matches the Rfam family "MIR1120/MIR1122 microRNA precursor family". The record is from RNAcentral. Lineage: Eukaryota; Viridiplantae; Streptophyta; Magnoliopsida; Poales; Poaceae.
AGUCUUGUAAGUCUGAACCCAUCGAAGUCUUAUAAGUCUGAACCCAUCGAACAAAUACAAAGCCUCCACGGUUUGGAGACCGUUGCUAAUGCUAAGCUAAACAACCCUUUUGGUUGGGGAGUUAGACACCUCAAAAACUAAUCCCAAUCAUGUAGCAAGUGCAGGUCAGCGAGGACUAAUUAGAUUAAACCCCUGACUAAAUCUAAUGCAUUAUUGCCAUGACGCCACGCCGUUGGCCUCUCCUCCAGCUCCAAGUCGAUCAUGAUGGCACACACGCCAGCUUCCUUCCACAGUCGCAGCUAGCUCCUGCUCCUUAGGUUAACUUUACGAGGCUGCCAAAUCGCACUCUAAUUAACAUACUAAUAAGCACUAGUACUGUAUGCAUGAAUCAGGAAACAUAUUAUAGUACAAAUGCUACUAAAACAACAAGGUGCAGAUCCAACGAAUAAGCUGCAAAUCUUGAUUUUGUUAAGUUUCAUGUACUAUCCAACGCAACUAAAAGUUCGAACUUAUGAAAAUAAAGGGCUAGGCAAUCUACACGUACACUUCAACAUCCCCUCUCACGUUUGACAUGGAAAGUCAUCACGUGGAUAAACUUAGAGAUAUGGCUCAAGAUGCCUAUACGUGAACAAAGAGGGUAUCAUCAAUUUUUUAGAUAAACUGUGAAAGUGAGGACUGAACUCAAGAUCUUAGACUCUAAUACCAUGUUAGAGCAUCUCUAACAGAGGCACUAAAUUAGCCGUGUGCUGUAAAAACCGGCCAUAUAGUACCUAUUAAAAGAUGAGAACCAAAAAGGGGAAACUUGGUUAUAGCCGCAUGGCUUAAAGAAACACAAAAAACAGAUGAACGGUUAUUUAGUACUCUCUCCGUCCAGAAUUACUUGUUAUAGAAAUGAAUGUAUCUAGACAUAUUUUAGUUUUACAUACAUUUUUUUUAUGAUAAGUAAUUCCGGACGGAGGGAGUAAGAUAUAUACCGGCCAGCCGGACAUGGUUGUUCCAUCGAUUGAUCGAACAAAACGAUGAUAUACUACUACAUCAGAAGCAAUCAGAAGGACUAACACUAGGUUUCGAACCCUAGUUUAUGGACACUCCUAUAAAGGAAGAGAACACAAAGAUACGACAUGGGUUUAGUGUUCAUGUCAACUGAUGUGUCCAUAAGAGACAUUCACCUCAUAGAUGUCCUUGGGCAACGGCGAUGCAAAGUAACAUGCCUUUUCUUAGAAAGGCUCACAACACACACACAUACUCAUCCAUGUGAGAGCAUACACGGAGAGAGUAGACCGGAUCUUGAGAUUGACAAACUUGCCACAUACACUUUCUGAAAGAAUAGUGCCAGAAAGCAUGAAAUAAAUUCAGGAAAUAUGUGAGCAUUAUUGCCAAAUGUGGAACUUGAACCCGGGUGGCUUGGUUCCACCACAAGAUACACACACAUCAAAUACUAUUAAAGACUAUCCACUAAGAGCAUUUUUUCGGUACCUUAUACUGCCUAUUGGAGAGAAGCAGUAUAAGCCUAAUCUAACCAUUGAUUUCUAGAGUAUCAUGGAUUUGUUCAAAUGGUAAUUAGGUCAGUUAGAUUUGUUCAAAGGGUAUUUAGGUCAAUAAUUCUAACUUCCCUCGUAACCAUAAAGGACGUGAUAUCAUUCUUGUAAUGAAAAACAAAAUUGCCGCCAGAACUAACUCGGUAGAAUAAUUAAAGGCUGACAAGAUCAAUCGUUUAAACACACAUCUCAGUGUAAUAAUCAAAAGAAGACCAUAACUUUCUAUUCAGUGAAGCUCUCUGCUUCAUCUGGAUUUAGGAAUAGAUAAGAGCGUCCGGGAUUGGAGAUGAGGCCGACGUGAUGAUGGUGCAAGGGGUUAACAUUCCUUGACAUGUCAGUGAUUUCGUCCAGCGCCUCGCUCUGCUUCUGCAGUCUUUCCUGGUCUCACCUGCAGCUACGGAGCUGUCCUUUGCCGCUGCGAACAUCUCGCCUGGGUAACCGAGCAAAACUUGGGCAAUCUAGGCUUUCCGUCUUCUUGUCGCCGGUUGUAUCCGUCUCGUCGAUCGUCGCUGCAGGCAUAGAGAUGACGGCGAUGCAGCCUAGAGGUCCGGCGUUCAUGCAUACAAGUGUAGUUCAUGCAUUAUUUAGAUCCAAGUGUCAAGUUUUCAGAGUGUCGAUGACAUGAAGCCUCAAUUCUAUCUGAACCCAUCAAACAAAGCCUUCACGGGCGCCGUCGGUUUGGAGUGUUCCAUGCACCGUUGCUAAUGCUAAGCUAAAGAACCCUUGUGGCUGAGGAGUUUGACACCUCAAAACUAAUCCCAAUCAUGCAGCAAGCGCAGGCCAGAGAGGAUUAACUAACCUGUAGCUCAAUGUAAUGCAUUAUUGCCAUGACGCCACGCCAUUGGCCCCGCCUCCAGCUCCAAGUCGACCAUGAUGGCAUGAUGUCACACACGCCAGCUUCCCUCCACAGUCGCAGCUAACUCCUCCUUAGGCCAACCUUCCAAGGCUGCCAAAUCGCACCCUAAUUAACUUAUCAUUAAGCAUUAGGCCUGUACGCACAUAUCAGCAAACGUACUAGCAUAUAGUACUCAAAUGCUACUAUUAUAAAAACAACAAGGUGCAUCCUACCAAACAUUCAACGAAUAAGGCACAGAGAUUGUCAGAUUCUAUAUGAGCAAUAAUUUUCUGACUAAUUUCCAUCCAUUUCCCUCUCAUUUUGAAUGGAGCGAUGGGCAAAGUCUUUUGCAAAUUCACGAAAAAGAAAGCCUUCAGGUCGCUCUCAUCGGCUUCGUAUUUCACAUACGGCCCUUCGAUUGAUAGACCCCGUCUUUGGCGAUCGGCCUAUAUAUACCGCUCCACCCCUUUCCUCCCCACCUCCCAAAUUCCAGGCUUGCCACACAUUCUUUGCAAAUUUGCAACCAGAUAUAGCCUGCGAGGUUUUGUGUGCCAUGGGCAUGGCUGACAAGAGGCCGGCUGCAAGGAAGGCCGGGCUAAUCACCAAGACGCUGGACCGGUGCUGGACCACGCCGGCGAGAAACAGCAAGCCCGUGGAGGGCUGCUUCUCGGUGUAUGUUGGCGCUGGGAGGCAGCGGUUCGUGGUGCGGACAGAGUGCUUGAACCACCCGUUGUUCCGAGCUCUGUUGGAGGAGGCCGAGGAGGUGUUUGGGUACGCGGACGCAGGGCCCCUCGAGCUUCCCUGCAACGCUGAGGCGUUUGCCGGGGUGCUGCAGCAGAUCAAGGAGGAGAAGCAGAUGGCGGCAGGAAGGAGGUACGGCCUUGUCAGGAGGAACUCCUACCGGCUGCUCGGCACCAGCCGGUCUGUCAUCAUCGGACGGUCGUAACAUACGAAUUGGAUUGGAAUUGGAUGAUGCAGAGUUGAUGAGCUCUAAAGUUUCUGUCGAGCUCAUGUUCUCAGAUAUCAUAUACACUUUUGGAAGCAAACUUAGCAUUCCCAAGUAUGAUAAACAACAUCAUCGUAUACUGGGCAAUGUUAGAUAUUUUUCUUCUUCUUCUUCUUUCUAUUUUUAUAAGGUAAUGUUAGAUGUUGGUGGUGUGUUCCCAUCCUAAGUUGUAGUAACUGUCAGCGGAAGUGUCAUUUGAAUCUGUAAGUCUUGUGAUGUCCACAGAUGGUAUAGUGUCGCAAUUCCAAAGCAGAAUCGCACAAUUCAAUUCACCUCACACCGAGUGUAAGAGGUUUUGAUGGAACUACGCUAAGAUUAAUCAACUAUAGUGUUUCUCCGCAGAUCAUCUGCAUGCAAACAUCCACUGAUUUGCUACCAAAUUUGUUUUAAAUCCAUUUACACACAGGAUUACAGAGCCUCAACACAUAUGACAAAUUUUUAAAUCUCAACGCACCAGCAGAAGCAUGUUUGCGGGUUAGACACAUGGCACACCAAUGGAGGUUUGGCAUCAGUUAAUUAAGUAUUCUAAUAUCUACAAAAACUAACCACAGACAAGGACCAUAAACAGGAAAACUCAGUUAUAUAGGUAUGGCUAAAAUGUAGGCAAAAAAACCAAUAAGCAGUAGUUUAGUAGAUGAUGUAAUCGGGAAGAUAUAUAGCAACCGACUCAGAUGGAUGUACAGCAAUCAGGGCAAGCUUAACGGUUCCAGGUAUUCUUAGACCCUUUCAGAGGACUGAAGAACACCAAAGCAUGGGAUCAAGUAUCAGUAAGGGGGAAAACAGACACUGCAAAUUACCGAGUAUUAGAAUUCACUGAAACAAAUAAAAAUAAACUGCUUGAUCCAGCCUUUUGUUAUUUCUUGAGUUUGCAAUCAAUCAGUUGAACACAGGUAUCGUACAGCAACAAUACUACCAUAACUAAACAUAGGGAUAUUCUCUGAAUAUCCAAAGACAAGGCGAUAAAUCAUAUAUGACGUGUCUUGAUGAACAGUAUUUACAGCCGUGGCCAUGGUCUUUGCUGAAUUUCUGUCUCUUUAUUCUAUAGCAAGAGAAGCUAGAGCCAUCAGCUUUGGCUCCAACUAAUACUGGUACUCCAAGGGUUCCCGAGACGUAAACUCUAACCUCACCUUUAUAAACUAACAUUUUGUGGCCCCACGGACAAAUGGAACCGUUAGGCAGAUGCAGAGAUCUUCAUAUAAUAUUGCCUUAACCAUUGACUAAUUAAUCCAGUGCUAACUUUUGGAGGACCUGAAGCACCAACACGAGUGCAUCGGCACUAGAAAAUGGGUUAAAUGUCCAUCUUAACCUGAUCCCUCUAGAGUCAAAAGUUAGAACCAUAUUGUUUUCACUACCUCCAACUUAUCUGAAAAGAUGGAGUCAAGAGCUUGGUGAAACCCCUGGUAAAUUAAGUUUAGAAGCAAAACCAACAUAUCUUAAACAUAAUGGUUAUGCGAAAGGGGAUCAAACUUUUGUCACGCAGUUUUGGAUAGGAAAAAUCUAGACUAUGGCAGCAAGUCUAUAAGAUGAAACUUAUUAUUGUACAAGUGCUGCUAAAACAACAAGUCACAUCCUUGUAAAGACCAAUGAAUAAGGUGCGAAGCUUGAUUCUAUAUGUGCAAUAAUUGUCUGACUAUUUUCAAUCACUUUCUCACUAUUCUUUAAUGAAAUGAUGAGCAGGUCUUUUCCGUAUUCACCUUUUAAAAUAGCUUUUGGGUCACUCUCAUCAUCUUCAUAUCUCAAAUAUGGCCUUUCCAUCGAGAGACCACGUCUUGGUGGAUCCGUCUAUAUAUAUAAUUCCAACCCUUUCCUUGUCACCUCCCAAUUCCAAGCUUGCUACACUUUUUCUUCAUUUUGCAAAAUUCCAACUAGUUAGCCUGCUAACUUUUGUGCACCAUGGGCAUGUCUGAGAAGAGCUUGGCCAAGAGGAAGGCUGGGCUGAUCACCAAGACACUGGACAGGUGCUGGAGCACACCAAUGAGGAACAAGCCUGCAGAGGGCUGUUUCUCUGUCUACGUCGGUGCCGGGAGGCAGCGGUUCGUGGUGCGGACAGAGUGCGUGAACCACCCGCUGUUCCGGGCGCUGCUCGAGGAGGCCGAGGAGGUGUUUGGGUACGCGUCCGCAGGCCCCCUCGAGCUACCCUGCAACGCCGAGGCGUUCGCCGGGGUGUUGGAGCAGAUCAAGGAGGAGAAGCAGAUGGCUGGGGGGAGGAGGUGUGGCCUCUCCAGGGGGAAAUCCUACCGGCUGCUUGGCACUGGUCAGACUGUCAUCAUCGAUCGGUCGUAGCAUAUGCAUUGGAUUGGAUGAUGCCGAGUUUAUGAGCUCUGAGUUUUGUUGAACUCGCAUUCUGGGACUACCGUGUACACAUUUGGAAGCAACCUUAGCAUUCCCAAGUAUGAUAAACAACAUCAUCAUAUACUGGGCAAAUGAGAUACUUUUAUUUUUUCUUCUGUUUCUGGUUUGCAUUUUUGUGAGAAGGCAAUGUUAGAUGUUGAUGUGUUUUCCCCUCCUAAGUUGUAGUAACUGUCGGUGGAAGUGUUAUACAGAUAUAUAAAGAAUCUAUAAGUUUUUCUUUAUGUCUAUAUAUGGCAUAAUGUUGCAAUUCCAAAGUAGAAUCGCACAGUUCAAUUCAUCUCGCACUGAUUGCAAGUGGUUUGGAUCAAAUUACGCUAAGAUACACCUAUAGUGUUUUCCCGCAGAUCUUCUCUUACGCAAGCAUCCACUAAUUUGCUAUCCAAAUCUGUUUGAAUUCCAUUUACACACUGGAUUACAGAGCCUCAACUCAUCUGUCAAUUUUUUAAAUCUCAAAGCACAGAAAUAUGUAUGCCGACUAGACACACGGCACACGGAAUGGAGGUAUGGCAUCAAUUAAUCAAGUGAUCUAAAUCAACAAAAAUUAACCACAGAAAAGGGCCAUAAACUGGAAAAGUCGUUUGUUGAUAUGGUUAAAAGGUAGGCAAAAAACAAAUGAGCAGUAGUGUAGUAGAUGAUGUAGUCAAGAAGAUAUAUCCAUUGAUUGAUCGAAUAAAUGAUGAUUUGGCAUCUAUAAGGAUCGGUAUAUCUAAUUUCUCGUAAAUGGAAAAGGGCUAAAGUAAUGUUAGUUGGUACAUUUGAUUGGAUUGAUCUCCAGGUACAUAAAUUUAUUCAAGACAAAGCUAUAGAAUUAGUGCAUUAAUGUACAAUACAGGUAGCAUGUGGGUUACCAUUUUCACUGUCAACUGAUGUUUUUUCUCCAGCCAAUACCAUUUGAUGCUUGCUAGGGACAUUUUUGCAGAACUAUAACUCCAGAACCAGUCGAUAACUUCCUUUGAUCCUGCAAUCAGGGCAAGGUUAACGAUUCCAGGUAUUCUUUGACUCACUCAGAGGACUGAAGAACACCAAAGUAUGGGAUCAAGUAUCAGUAAGGAGAAAACAGACACCGCAAAUUACUGGGUAUUAUAUUAUUAACAAUAAACUGCUUGAUCCAGCCCUUUCCUAUUGUUUGGAUUUGCAACCAGUCAGUUGAACCCAGGGACC